RNAcentral lists this ribosomal RNA (468 nucleotides) under uncultured bacterium. Its description in RNAcentral is "partial 16S ribosomal RNA". It matches the Rfam family "Bacterial small subunit ribosomal RNA", at positions 28 to 507 of the family's 1533-position model. The record is from RNAcentral.
GACGAACGCUGGCGGCGUGCUUAACACAUGCAAGUCGAACGGAAAGGCCCUGCUUUUGUGGGGUGCUCGAGUGGCGAACGGGUGAGUAACACGUGAGUAACCUGCCCUUGACUUUGGGAUAACUUCAGGAAACUGGGGCUAAUACCGGAUAGGAGCUCCUGCUGCAUGGUGGGGGUUGGAGAGUUUCGGCGGUUGGGGAUGGACUCGCGGCUUAUCAGCUUGUUGGUGGGGUAGCGGCUUACCAAGGCUUUGACGGGUAGCCGGCCUGAGAGGGUGACCGGCCACAUUGGGACUGAGAUACGGCCCAGACUCCUACGGGAGGCAGCAGUGGGGAAUAUUGCACAAUGGGCGGAAGCCUGAUGCAGCAACGCCGCGUGCGGGAUGACGGCCUUCGGGUUGUAAACCGCUUUCGCCUGUGACGAAGCGUGAGUGACGGUAAUGGGUAAAGAAGCACCGGCUAACUACGUG